Molecule: long non-coding RNA, 565 nt
Organism: Cotesia glomerata
Lineage: Eukaryota; Metazoa; Arthropoda; Insecta; Hymenoptera; Braconidae
Exons: 4
Source: RefSeq, a predicted model, not a curated record
UAUUUUAAGUAUUUAUUUUUUAGAAAUCACUGUAUAAACAUAGCUUGCACGAAUUCUGAUAGUUAUAAUUGAAGAAUUACAGAUGACUUUGGAUUUAUUGCGUUUGGACCAAAAAUCGACGAUUUUCUGAAAAUCACUGUACAAACAUGGCUUGCACGAAUUCUGAUAUUUAUAUUCGAGAAAUUACUGAUUAUUUUGGAUUUAUUGCGUUUGGACGGGAAAUUGACGAUUUUCCGAAAGAGGGUACUUCCUUAAAGUAUUCGAAUAGACUUUAUUUUUUUAAGAACAUGAUUUUUAGUAAUUUUUUCACGGAAAUCACUGUAUAAAUAUGGCUUGCACAAAUCCUAAUGGUAAUAUUAGAGAAAUUACUGAAUAUUUUAGAUUCAUUGCGUUUGGACCAAAAAUCGACGAUUUUCCAGAAAUCACUGUAUAAACAUGGCUUGCACAAAUUCUGAUGGUUAUAUUGGAGAAAUUACAGAUUAUUUGGGAAUCAUUGCGUUUGGACCGAAAAUCGACGAUUUUCCAGAAAUCACGAUAUAAACAUGGCUUGCACAAUCUCUGAUGG